RNAcentral lists this ribosomal RNA (457 nucleotides) under uncultured Planctomycetota bacterium. RNAcentral's name for it is "bacterial SSU rRNA". It matches the Rfam family "Bacterial small subunit ribosomal RNA", at positions 481 to 937 of the family's 1533-position model. The record is from RNAcentral. Lineage: Bacteria; Pseudomonadati; Planctomycetota.
CUGGAGGAAGCGCGGGCUAAGUUCGUGCCAGCAGCCGCGGUAAGACGAACCGUGCAAACGUUGUUCGGAAUCACUGGGCUUAAAGGGCGCGUAGGCGGGCGGUCAAGUCAGGGGUGAAAUCUUUCGGCUCAACCGGGAAAUGGCCUUUGAUACUGGCUGUCUUGAGUGAGGUAGGGGCAUGUGGAACUUCCGGUGGAGCGGUGAAAUGCGUUGAUAUCGGAAGGAACGCCGGUGGCGAAAGCGACGUGCUGGACCUCUUCUGACGCUGAUGCGCGAAAGCUAGGGUAGCGAACGGGAUUAGAUACCCCGGUAGUCCUAGCCCUAAACGAUGGGUACUAGGUAGUGGACUUAACAUGGGUUCACUGCCGAAGCAAAAGUGUUAAGUACCCCGCCUGGGGAGUAUGGUCGCAAGGCUGAAACUCAAAGGAAUUGACGGGGGCUCACACAAGCGGUGGAG